RNAcentral lists this ribosomal RNA (776 nucleotides) under uncultured Neocallimastigales. RNAcentral describes it as "partial large subunit ribosomal RNA". It matches the Rfam family "Eukaryotic large subunit ribosomal RNA", at positions 26 to 640 of the family's 3401-position model. Lineage: Eukaryota; Fungi; Neocallimastigomycota; Neocallimastigomycetes; Neocallimastigales. The record is from RNAcentral.
CGCAUCUGUGCAUGCAGCAUAUCAAUAAGCGGAGGAAAAGAAACUAACAAGGAUUCCCUUAGUAACGGCGAGUGAAGCGGGAAGAGCUCAAAUUUGAAAUCUUCAAGGUUUUACCUUGACGAAUUGUAGUUUAAAGAAGUGUUUUCUGUUGAAGUUUUGGUAAAAGUUCUUUGGAAUAGGACAUCAUAGAGGGUGAGAAUCCCGUAUUUGACCAUUAUUUUCAGCUGUGUGAUACACUUUCAAAGAGUCGGAUUGUUUGGGAAUGCAGUCCAAAAUGGGUGGUAAAUUUCAUCUAAAGCUAAAUAUUGGCGAGAGACCGAUAGCGAACAAGUACCGUGAGGGAAAGAUGAAAAGAACUUUGAAAAGAGAGUUAAACAGUACGUGAAAUUGUCAAAAGGGAAGCGUUUGACACCAGUGUUGUUUUCUCGAAAAUCAAUUAAAAAGAGUUUAGAUUUUGUUGUGUAUUGACCUUAACAGCUUGCAUUUCAAUUUUCUUGCUUUUUUUAAUGCACUUUUCGUUUAACAAGUCAACAUCAGUUUCUUUUGUUGUAAAAAGGUCAUUGGAAGGUGGCUUCCUUUUCGGAGAAAGUGUUUAUAAGCCUUUGACUCCUGCAAUCGGAGAGACUGAGGUCUGCAGCGUAGAUCCUUCGGGGUUAGAUACAUUUGUGCUAAGUUAUAGCUUUUUAUAGACAACUUGUUGACUAUGAUUAGUCUUGUAGCUUACUCGCUUAUGCUAUUUUACCUACGCUUAGGAUGUUGACACACGCGCGUGCUCG